CUUACCAGGUCUUGACAUCCCGAUGCUAUUUCUAGAGAUAGAAAGUUACUUCGGUACAUCGGUGACAGGUGGUGCAUGGUUGUCGUCAGCUCGUGUCGUGAGAUGUUGGGUUAAGUCCCGCAACGAGCGCAACCCCUAUUGUUAGUUGCCAUCAUUCAGUUGGGCACUCUAGCGAGACUGCCGGUAAUAAACCGGAGGAAGGUGAGUGGACUCAAUCAAUCAUGCCCCUAUGACCUAUGGGCUACAGACCUGCUACGAUGGUCGUACGUCGCGGCCGAGUCGUCGGAGGUCAAGGGCNCAACGCGGGAAUAGGNGGAUG
This 319-nucleotide ribosomal RNA is filed under the name uncultured bacterium. RNAcentral describes it as "bacterial SSU rRNA". The stretch from base 1 to 256 matches the Rfam family "Bacterial small subunit ribosomal RNA", at positions 970 to 1228 of the family's 1533-position model. The record is from RNAcentral.